This 274-nucleotide ribosomal RNA is filed under the name uncultured bacterium. RNAcentral describes it as "partial 16S ribosomal RNA". It matches the Rfam family "Bacterial small subunit ribosomal RNA", at positions 523 to 796 of the family's 1533-position model. The record is from RNAcentral.
AUACGGAGGGGGUUAGCGUUGUUCGGAAUUACUGGGCGUAAAGCGCACGUAGGCGGAUUAAAAAGUUAGAGGUGAAAUCCCAGGGCUCAACCCUGGAACUGCCUUUAAAACUAGUAGUCUAGAGUUCGAGAGAGGUGAGUGGAAUUCCAAGUGUAGAGGUGAAAUUCGUAGAUAUUUGGAGGAACACCAGUGGCGAAGACGGCUCACUGGCUCGAUACUGACGCUGAGGUGCGAAAGCGUGGGGAGCAAACAGGAUUAGAUACCCGGGUAGUCC